UACAGAGGGUGCGAGCGUUGUCCGGAAUCACUGGGCGUAAAGGGCGCGUAGGCGGCCUGGUAAGUAGGGGGUGAAAUCUUACGGCUCAACCGUGAGGCUGCCUCCUAGACUGCCGGGCUCGAGCACAGCAGAGGCUAGUGGAAUUCCCGGUGUAGCGGUGGAAUGCGUAGAGAUCGGGAAGAACAUCGGUGGCGAAGGCGGCUAGCUGGGCUGUUGCUGACGCUGAGGCGCGACAGCGUGGGGAGCAAACAGG
RNAcentral lists this ribosomal RNA (253 nucleotides) under uncultured bacterium. RNAcentral's name for it is "partial 16S ribosomal RNA". It matches the Rfam family "Bacterial small subunit ribosomal RNA", at positions 524 to 776 of the family's 1533-position model. The record is from RNAcentral.